Molecule: non-coding RNA, 82 nt
Organism: Gelatoporia subvermispora B
Lineage: Eukaryota; Fungi; Basidiomycota; Agaricomycetes; Polyporales; Gelatoporiaceae
Source: the annotation of a GenBank genome assembly
GGCUCAAUGGUCUAGUAGUAUGAUUCGCGCUUCGGGAUUUUCUGCCUGCGCGAGGUCCCGGGUUCAAUUCCCGGUUGAGCCC